This 3200-nucleotide ribosomal RNA is filed under the name Helicobacter sp. MIT 99-10781. RNAcentral describes it as "bacterial LSU rRNA". It matches the Rfam family "Bacterial large subunit ribosomal RNA". Lineage: Bacteria; Pseudomonadati; Campylobacterota; Epsilonproteobacteria; Campylobacterales; Helicobacteraceae. The record is from RNAcentral. RNAcentral also lists the same sequence under 1 other name.
AAGGUAAGUAAGCUUUCAAGGGCAAAUGGUGGAUGCCUUGGGUGAUAGAGGCGAUGAAGGACGUACUAGACUGCGAUAAGCUACGGGGAGCUGUCAAGAAGCUUUGAUCCGUAGAUUUCCGAAUGGGGCAACCCAAUAUACAGCAAUGUAUAUUACCUUUAAUGGAGCGAACCUAGCGAAGUGAAACAUCUCAGUAGCUAGAGGAAAAGAAAUCAAACGAGAUUCUCUUAGUAGCGGCGAGCGAACGGGGAAGAGGGCAAACCGAAUGCUUGCAUUCGGGGUUGUGGACUGCAAUAUCCACUUAGAGAAUCUAGCAGAAGUAUUUGGAAAAGUACAUCACAGAGGGUGAUAGUCCCGUAUGCGAAAGAUUCUUUAUAGGUAGCAGUAUCCAGAGUAAGCCAGGACACGUGAAAUCCGGGCCGAAGCCGGGGAGACCACUCUCCAACCCUAAAUACUACUAUCACACCGAUAGCGCACAAGUACCGUGAGGGAAAGGUGAAAAGAACCGCAGUGAGCGGAGUGAAAUAGAACCUGAAACCAUUUGCCUACAAUCAUUCAGAGCCCUAUUGUGAGUCCCUUUGAGGAAUCUGCUUAUGCUUUUGAGUGAUUUUGCGGGAGCUUGUUGUUCAAUUUCGGAGAUGAACUUUAUGUUCUAUCUCCUCAUUUCACAACAGCGCAACCCACAAACUCAUCUCAAAAUCAUUGCACGAUGGAUUUAAUAGAAUCUAUGCAGACACAAAAUUCUAGUAUUUUAAGAUGAUUUUAGUGGCUGUCAAGAAAAAGCUGCAGGGAGCUACCUAGGCGGUAGUGACCAAAGCUUUUUCGCAGACUCCGCUAAAAGCACUCAAAAGACGAAUUUACCUUGAUUCUUCAGAGGGAUUCACAAGGGUGAUGGACUGCCUUUUGCAUAAUGAUCCUGCGAGUUGUGGUAUCUGGCAAGGUUAAGCAAACGCGAAGCCGUAGCGAAAGCGAGUCUGAAAGGGCGCUUAGUCAGAUGCUGCAGACCCGAAGCGAAGUGAUCUAUCCAUGGCCAAGUUGAAGUAAGUGUAAUAGCUUAUGGAGGACUGAACUCGUACCCAUUGAAACGGGUUGGGAUGAGCUGUGGAUAGGGGUGAAAGGCCAAACAAACUUCGUGAUAGCUGGUUCUCUUCGAAAUAUAUUUAGGUAUAGCCUCAAGUAAUAGUAAUAGGGGGUAGAGCUCUGAUUGGGCUAGGGCUGCUCACCGCGGUACCAACCCCUGUCAAACUUCAAAUACCUAUUACCGUAUCUUGGGAGUCAGGCGGUGGGUGAUAAAAUCAAUCGUCAAAAGGGGAACAACCCAGACUACCAACUAAGGUCCCAAAGUUCUAUUCUAAGUGGAAAAUGAUGUGAAGUUACUCAGACAACCAGGAGGUUGGCUUAGAAGCAGCCAUCCUUUAAAGAAAGCGUAACAGCUCACUGGUCUAGUGAUUUUGCGCAGAAAAUAUAACGGGGCUAAGAUAGACACCGAAGUUGUAGAUUAUGCUGAUGCAUAGUGGUAGAAGAGCGUUCGUAUUGCGUUGAAGGUAUAUCGGUAAGAAGUGCUGGAGCGAUGCGAAGUGAGCAUGCAGGAAUGAGUAGCGAUAAAAUAUGUGAGAAUCAUAUUCGCCGAAAGUCUAAGGUUUCCUACGCGAUGCUCGUCAUCGUAGGGUUAGUCGGGUCCUAAGCCAAGUCCGAAAGGGGUAGGCGAUGGAAAAUAGGUUAAUAUUCCUAUACCAAUAGUAGUGUGCGAUGGAAGGACGCAUAGGGUUAGGUGAGCCAACUGAUGGAAGUGUUGGUCUAAGAGCGUAGAUUGGGGGAGAGGCAAAUCCGCCCCUGUAUUCGAAACUUGAAAGGCUCUUUGAAGUCUUCGGAUGGAAAGGAGAAUCACUGAUACCGUCGUGCCAAGAAAAGUUUCUAAGUUUAGCUACUAUUGCCCGUACCGCAAACCGACACAGGUAGAUGAGAUGAGUAUUCUAAGGCGCGUGAAAGAACUCUGGUUAAGGAACUCUGCAAACUAGCACCGUAAGUUCGCGAUAAGGUGUGCCUAAGCAAUUAGGUCUCAGCAAAGAGUCCCUCCCGACUGUUUACCAAAAACACAGCACUUUGCAAACUCGUAAGAGGAAGUAUAAGGUGUGACGCCUGCCCGGUGCUCGAAGGUUAAAAGGAUUAGUUAGCAGCAAUGCGAAGCUUUGAAUUGAAGCCCGAGUAAACGGCGGCCGUAACUAUAACGGUCCUAAGGUAGCGAAAUUCCUUGUCGGUUAAAUACCGACCUGCAUGAAUGGCGUAACGAGAUGGGAGCUGUCUCAACCAGGGAUUCAGUGAAAUUGUAGUGGAGGUGAAAAUUCCUCCUACCCGCGGCAAGACGGAAAGACCCCGUGGACCUUUACUACAGCUUGGCACUGCCGAUGGGAACAUUAUGCGCAGGAUAGGUGGGAGGCUUUGAAAUCUUCACUCUGGUGGAGAUGGAGCCAUCCUUGAGAUACCACCCUUAAUGUUUCUGUCUGCUAACUGGCUAGAGUUAUCCUCUAGCAGGACAAUGUCUGGUGGGUAGUUUGACUGGGGCGGUCGCCUCCUAAAAAGUAACGGAGGCUUGCAAAGGUUGGCUCAUUGCGGUUGGAAAUCGCAAGUAGAGUGUAAUGGCAUAAGCCAGCCUGACUGUAAGACAAACAAGUCGAGCAGAGACGAAAGUCGGUCAUAGUGAUCCGGUGAUUCUGUGUGGAAGGGUCAUCGCUCAAAGGAUAAAAGGUACCCCGGGGAUAACAGGCUGAUCUCCCCCAAGAGCUCACAUCGACGGGGAGGUUUGGCACCUCGAUGUCGGCUCAUCGCAUCCUGGGGCUGGAGCAGGUCCCAAGGGUAUGGCUGUUCGCCAUUUAAAGCGGUACGCGAGCUGGGUUCAGAACGUCGUGAGACAGUUCGGUCCCUAUCUGCCGUGGGCGUAGGAGAGUUGAGGAGAGCUGUCCCUAGUACGAGAGGACCGGGAUGGACAUGCCACUGGUGUAUCAGUUGUUCUGCCAAGAGCAUCGCUGAGUAGCUACGCAUGGAUGUGAUAACCGCUGAAAGCAUCUAAGCGGGAAGCCAACUCCAAGAUUAACUCUCCCUGAAGGUCGCAGCAAGACUAGCUGCUUGAUAGGGUAGGUGUGUAAGCAUAGUAAUAUGUUUAGCUGACUACUACUAAUAGACCGCUUGGCUUAUUUAUAAAA